Molecule: ribosomal RNA, 253 nt
Filed under: uncultured bacterium
Lineage: Bacteria
Description: partial 16S ribosomal RNA
Rfam family: Bacterial small subunit ribosomal RNA
Source: RNAcentral
UACGAAGGGAGCUAGCGUUGUUCGGAAUUACUGGGCGUAAAGCGCGUGUAGGCGGGUCUUUAAGUCAGGGGUGAAAUGCCAAGGCUCAACCUUGGAACUGCCUUUGAUACUGGAGACCUUGAGUCCGGGAGAGGUGAGUGGAAUUGCGAGUGUAGAGGUGAAAUUCGUAGAUAUUCGCAAGAACACCAGUGGCGAAGGCGGCUCACUGGCCCGGAACUGACGCUGAGAUGCGAAAGCGUGGGGAGCAAACAGG